Drosophila biarmipes is the source of this 1414-nucleotide long non-coding RNA. RefSeq lists it as uncharacterized. Lineage: Eukaryota; Metazoa; Arthropoda; Insecta; Diptera; Drosophilidae. The transcript has 7 exons. The record is from RefSeq and is a predicted model, not a curated record.
UGUGUGUAACUGUAACUGGCAUAGAGUUGUCUGCUGGUCGAAAAGUGGUGAAAUAUUGAUAACCAAAAGUGCUAAAAAGUGUGAUUAAAGGUGGCUUCAAUUUUGUAUAAAGAAACGCAUUUAAAAGCCAUUUAUUAUAGGGAAAUCGAGUGUUUAAUAUUGAUUCCAAGGCUUUGGCUCAAAGUAAUCGGUGAUCUUAGCUUUCUUCUUCUUGCUCCCCUCCCUUUUCUCUUGCUCUUCUGAAAGCGACCUCUGUCGUUCGUUUUUCGUACUACCCACUUCAAAGACAUUGCGUUCGCUGCUGCCAUUUAUUACUUAUUCACAAUUAAAUCAGUGGCGAUCGGCCAGUUGCAAGUGCAAGUGCAAAGACAAAUCGGGCAAAGACAAGGUUGGCCGCCAAAAGCCGUCUUGGCUUUAAAUCAAAACAAGUGCAGCAAAGCCAAAAGCAAGUAAGAAAACACCAACAACAUGGCACAGCGAACUCAUAAAACGGAAAUUCCUGUGCACCGACCUGGGCAGAGGGACAAGUGUAAUGGACACGCUCGGUUCCCAUCCACGGCAUGGAGAUCGCGAUGAACUUGAAGUUUCGCACUCGCUUGAUUGAGUUGUUCUUCUUCUUGCACUCUGGUCAGCUGGCAUGGCUCAGCAGAUCGGCCUAGCUGUACUUUAUAUAUAACGAUUCGACCAUGGGAACUACUGGCCUAGCCGCUCCUCAUCAUCUUCCUCGUCAUCCGCGGCCUGGCCGGCGAAAUGUGACAGACAGCAUCCAUUACCCUAACGAUAAUUGGCCGGGCUAUGCGAUUCCCAGGUCUCUCCAUUGCCAGUUUAGCCAGCAACGGAUUAUGGCUGUCCCCUACAUCGUUUUGGAUACUGACGUCAAGUGCAGUAUGCUGAUAAGGCUGGAGAGUCCGAAGACAGGAGACCGAAGCCAGGAGAACGGAGAUCCAGACGGAUUUUAUGGCCAAAAUAAAUGACGAACAGCGAAAACGGCAGAAGGCAAACGGCAAACGGCAAACGGCAAACGGCAACGAAAGGAACAGGCUAAUAAAAAGCCAUUAAAGCCAAGUUCAGGCAGGUCAUGAUUAUAUUUAUUAGCUGACAUAACAUCUACUUCUUAACCUCCGGUUAAGCCCAAUGUAAAUAGCAUACAGGAUGAGGAUCUAAACUGCUCUGGAAAAACCAUUCAAAAUUCCUGGUUUACGGAUUCCACACCCAACUCAGUACCUGUUAAGCAGUUUCAAAAAGGAAUUUGAAUAAAUGGAUUUCACAAGGGACCUUUUUAUAUGGACUGAGCAUUUAUUUAUACUCUGAAGGAGCAGAUUUCUGCAUUUAAGGAUCUAUCUAUUAACAAUUAAAGAGACUGCCUGGAAGUAGGAGUGCGGCUCGCUGCGGAUGCCGUGGCUUAUGGCGUGCA